CCUACGGGAGGCAGCAGUAGGGAAUAUUGCUCAAUGGGGGAAACCCUGAAGCAGCAACGCCGCGUGGAGGAUGAAGGUUUUCGGAUUGUAAACUCCUUUUGUUAGAGAAGAUAAUGACGGUAUCUAACGAAUAAGCACCGGCUAACUCCGUGCCAGCAGCCGCGGUAAUACGGAGGGUGCAAGCGUUACUCGGAAUCACUGGGCGUAAAGAGCGCGCAGGCGGGAUAGCAAGUCAGAUGUGAAAUCCUAGGGCUUAACCAUAGAACUGCAUUUGAAACUGUGAGUCUAGAGUAUGGGAGGGGUAGGUGGAAUUCUUGGUGUAGGGGUAAAAUCCGUAGAGAUCAAGAGGAAUACUCAUUGCGAAGGCGACCUGCUAGAACAUAACUGACGCUGAUGCGCGAAAGCGUGGGGAGCAAACAGGAUUAGAUACCCCAGUAGUC
Molecule: ribosomal RNA, 440 nt
Filed under: uncultured bacterium
Lineage: Bacteria
Description: partial 16S ribosomal RNA
Rfam family: Bacterial small subunit ribosomal RNA
Source: RNAcentral